UGGGGAAUAUUGGACAAUGGGCGAAAGCCUGAUCCAGCCAUGCCGCGUGUGUGAAGAAGGUCUUCGGAUUGUAAAGCACUUUAAGUUGGGAGGAAGGGUAGUAACCUAAUACGUUGCUACUUUGACGUUACCGACAGAAUAAGCACCGGCUAACUUCGUGCCAGCAGCCGCGGUAAUACGAAGGGUGCAAGCGUUAAUCGGAAUUACUGGGCGUAAAGCGCGCGUAGGUGGUUCAGCAAGUUGGAUGUGAAAGCCCUGGGCUCAACCUGGGAACUGCAUCCAAAACUACUGAGCUAGAGUACGGUAGAGGGUAGUGGAAUUUCCUGUGUAGCGGUGAAAUGCGUAGAUAUAGGAAGGAACACCAGUGGCGAAGGCGACUACCUGGACUGAUACUGACACUGAGGUGCGAAAGCGUGGGGAGCAAACAGG
This 429-nucleotide ribosomal RNA is filed under the name uncultured Pseudomonadaceae bacterium. RNAcentral's name for it is "bacterial SSU rRNA". It matches the Rfam family "Bacterial small subunit ribosomal RNA", at positions 355 to 776 of the family's 1533-position model. The record is from RNAcentral. Lineage: Bacteria; Pseudomonadati; Pseudomonadota; Gammaproteobacteria; Pseudomonadales; Pseudomonadaceae.